GAAAUGCGAUAAGUAAUGUGAAUUGCAGAAUUCAGUGAAUCAUCGAAUCUUUGAACGCACAUUGCGCUCGCCAGUAUUCUGGCGAGCAUGCCUGUUCGAGCGUCAUUUCAACCAUCAAGCUCUGCUUGCGUUGGGGAUCCGCGGCUGCCCGCGGUCCCUCAAAAACAGUGGCGGGCUCGCUAUUCACACCGAGCGUAGUAACUCUACAUCGCUAUGGUCGUGCGGCGGGUUCUUGCCGUAAAACCCCCAAUUUCUAAGGUUGACCUCGGAUCAGGUAGGAAUACCCGCUGAACUUAAGC
This 299-nucleotide unclassified non-coding RNA is filed under the name plant metagenome. RNAcentral's name for it is "partial contains 5.8S ribosomal RNA, internal transcribed spacer 2, and large subunit ribosomal RNA". The stretch from base 1 to 105 matches the Rfam family "5.8S ribosomal RNA", at positions 50 to 154 of the family's 154-position model. The record is from RNAcentral.